GACGAACGCUGGCGGCGUGCUUAACACAUGCAAGUCGAGCGGUAAGGCCCUUUCGGGGGUACACGAGCGGCGAACGGGUGAGUAGCACGUGGGUGACCCGCCCUCAGCUCUGGGAUAAGCCUGGGAAACCGGGUCUAAUACUGGAUAUGACUCCAUGACGCAUGUUGUGGGGUGGAAAGCCUUGUGCGGCUGAGGAUGGGCCCGCGGCCUAUCAGCUUGUUGGUGGGGUGANGGCCUACCAAAGGCGACGACGGGUAGCCGGCCUGAGAGGGCGACCGGCCACACUGGGACCGAGACACGGCCCAGAC
Molecule: ribosomal RNA, 308 nt
Filed under: uncultured bacterium
Lineage: Bacteria
Description: bacterial SSU rRNA
Rfam family: Bacterial small subunit ribosomal RNA
Source: RNAcentral